AUAGACUGUGUCCUUCCACGUUAAGGAGGCAAAUCCGUGCUACCAUUCGCAAUUUUUUUGAGUAGCAUGUGAGAAAAUAAUUUAGAAACAAGCAGUAAAUCUGAAAAUAUGAUAUUACUCUUGAUAUAACAAAAUAUGAUAUUAAUUACUCUUGGGUAAAGGAAAACAAAUAUGAUAGUUAGUACUCUCUGUGUUUGGACAAAAAUAUUUUUGCCUGCUUGCAUCGGAUUACCGUAAUACGACUGUUUGUCUUCACUCCGAACAACCGGAGAUGAGUACAAUACGACUACAUUAAAUAUAAGAUUGUAAUAUGAAUUGAGAGUCAAAUUAACAAGGGGGAAUUCAGUUAUUUCUUUGUAUGUUUAAGGAAUAGGUGAUGGGUUAGCCUGGUGUAAGACUA
Arabidopsis thaliana (thale cress) is the source of this 400-nucleotide long non-coding RNA. RefSeq annotates it as other RNA. Lineage: Eukaryota; Viridiplantae; Streptophyta; Magnoliopsida; Brassicales; Brassicaceae. The transcript has a single exon. The record is from RefSeq.